Molecule: ribosomal RNA, 529 nt
Filed under: Zangia chlorinosma
Lineage: Eukaryota; Fungi; Basidiomycota; Agaricomycetes; Boletales; Boletaceae
Description: partial small subunit ribosomal RNA
Rfam family: Bacterial small subunit ribosomal RNA
Source: RNAcentral
UGAAUCUUAAUCUAAAUAUUAAGAUAAGGUAAGAGAAAAUAAUGAUAUUAUCUUACUAUUAGUGUCGUCUAAAUUUGGUGCCAGAAGACUCGGUAAGACCUUAGACGCAAACGUUAAUCGUCAUAAUCAGGCGUAAAGGGUGUGUAGGCUGCUUUAAAAAAUAUAAUAAGUAAUAUAAUUAUUAUAGCAAAAAAAUUAUAUUUUAAUAAAAGCUAGAAUCUAAAAGAGGGUAAGCUAAACAACAUAAUUAACUGGGACUGACAACUUAUAAUAAUGUGGAGUACUAAAGGUUAAAGCUAUUUAUCUACUGAAGAUUGACGCUGAGAAACGAAGGGGAGAAUAAGAAACUUAGAUUAGAGACCUAAUUAUCUCUCUCAGUCAACGAUGAAUGGUAGUUAUUAAAAAUUUUAUAAUUUUAGUAACGAGGUUAACACGAUGACCAUUCCGCCUUGUUAGUAAGACUGCAAAGUUGAAAACAAAAAAAUUAGUCGGUCUUGAAGCAAACGAAGUGAAGCAUGUUAUUUAAUUC